This 864-nucleotide ribosomal RNA is filed under the name Microbacterium zeae. RNAcentral's name for it is "bacterial SSU rRNA". It matches the Rfam family "Bacterial small subunit ribosomal RNA", at positions 41 to 911 of the family's 1533-position model. Lineage: Bacteria; Bacillati; Actinomycetota; Actinomycetes; Micrococcales; Microbacteriaceae. The record is from RNAcentral.
GGAAUGCGGGUGCUACGUGCAGUCGAGCGGUGAAGCCAAGCUUGCUUGGUGGAUCAGUGGCGAACGGGUGAGUAACACGUGAGCAACCUGCCCUGGACUCUGGGAUAAGCGCUGGAAACGGUGUCUAAUACUGGAUAUGAGCUUUCACCGCAUGGUGGGGGUUGGAAAGAUUUUUCGGUCUGGGAUGGGCUCGCGGCCUAUCAGCUUGUUGGUGAGGUAAUGGCUCACCAAGGCGUCGACGGGUAGCCGGCCUGAGAGGGUGACCGGCCACACUGGGACUGAGACACGGCCCAGACUCCUACGGGAGGCAGCAGUGGGGAAUAUUGCACAAUGGGCGGAAGCCUGAUGCAGCAACGCCGCGUGAGGGAUGACGGCCUUCGGGUUGUAAACCUCUUUUAGCAGGGAAGAAGCGUGAGUGACGGUACCUGCAGAAAAAGCGCCGGCUAACUACGUGCCAGCAGCCGCGGUAAUACGUAGGGCGCAAGCGUUAUCCGGAAUUAUUGGGCGUAAAGAGCUCGUAGGCGGUUUGUCGCGUCUGCUGUGAAAUCCCGAGGCUCAACCUCGGGCCUGCAGUGGGUACGGGCAGACUAGAGUGCGGUAGGGGAGAUUGGAAUUCCUGGUGUAGCGGUGGAAUGCGCAGAUAUCAGGAGGAACACCGAUGGCGAAAGGCAGAUCUCUGGGCCGUAACUGACGCUGAGGAGCGAAAGGGUGGGGAGCAAACAGGCUUAGAUACCCUGGUAGUCCACCCCGUAAACGUUGGGAACUAGUUGUGGCGACCAUUUCACGGUUUUCGUGACGCAGCUUACGCAUUAGCUCCCCGACUGGGGGAGUACGGCCGCUAAGGCCUAAAACCUCAGAGGAGUG